UUGAAACAUCAGUUCCCUUACGAUCACUGAAGUGAAGCCUCAUUGUGUCUGGUCAUUACAUCGAUGGGUGACCGCUUGUGAAUACAAGGUGCUA
This is a non-coding RNA of Acanthosepion pharaonis, 94 nucleotides long. The record is from the annotation of a GenBank genome assembly. Lineage: Eukaryota; Metazoa; Mollusca; Cephalopoda; Sepiida; Sepiidae.